RNAcentral lists this ribosomal RNA (429 nucleotides) under Pseudomonadota bacterium. RNAcentral's name for it is "Proteobacteria bacterium partial 16S ribosomal RNA". It matches the Rfam family "Bacterial small subunit ribosomal RNA", at positions 355 to 776 of the family's 1533-position model. Lineage: Bacteria; Pseudomonadati; Pseudomonadota. The record is from RNAcentral.
UGGGGAAUAUUGGACAAUGGGCGAAAGCCUGAUCCAGCCAUGCCGCGUGUGUGAAGAAGGUCUUCGGAUUGUAAAGCACUUUAAGUUGGGAGGAAGGGCAGUAAGCGAAUACCUUGCUGUUUUGUCGUUACCGACAGAAUAAGCACCGGCUAACUCUGUGCCAGCAGCCGCGGUAAUACAGAGGGUGCAAGCGUUAAUCGGAAUUACUGGGCGUAAAGCGCGCGUAGGUGGUUCGUUAAGUUGAAUGUGAAAGCCCCGGGCUCAACCUGGGAACUGCAUCCAAAUCUGGCGAGCUAGAGUAGGGCAGAGGGUGGUGGAAUUUCCUGUGUAGCGGUGAAAUGCGUAGAUAUAGGAAGGAACACCAGUGGCGAAGGCGACCACCUGGGCUCAUACUGACACUGAGGUGCGAAAGCGUAGGGAGCAAACAGG